AGGCGGGCACAGCGGCGAAGUUCUGCGCGGGCGCGGAAGACGGGCGGCGCGUGGCGGAAGGCAGGCUUGCUCCUCGGGGUGGGGGAGGGUAUCCGGCUUAAGGGGGCUGCGGUGGACGCCACUUCUUAAUGUCGGGGGUCUUCGCGGCGCUCACCUCGGCUCCUAGGGUUCGGGACGGUACGCACCAGCCACCUUCGCGCCGAAGGCGGUAGGGCGCCACGGAGAGGAACCGCUCUAGGCACGUAAGGCCUCGUGAGGUUGCGUCGCGCGCGGAGCACUCUGGGACUUGUAGUUCUGGAGAUGGAGCGAGCUGUGCCGCUCGCGGUGCCUCUGGGUCAGACAGAGGUGUUCCAGGCCUUGCAGCGGCUCCAUAUGACCAUCUUCUCCCAGAGCGUCUCACCAUGUGGGAAGUUUCUGGCGGCUGGCAACAAUUACGGGCAGAUUGCCAUCUUCAGCUUGUCCGCUGCUUUGAGCUCAGAAGCCAAAGAGGAAAGUAAGAAGCCGGUGGUGACUUUCCAAGGUGGGUAUAGCUGUGGAGUCUGGCUUCGGGACUUUGGGUGGGAUUGACUCACUCAGUUCUGCAUUUCUCUUUAGCCCAUGAUGGGCCCGUCUAUAGCAUGGUUUCCACCGAUCGACAUCUGCUUAGUGCUGGGGAUGGGGAGGUGAAGGCCUGGCUUUGGGCGGAGAUGCUCAAGAAGGGCUGUAAGGAGCUGUGGCGUCGUCAGCCUCCAUACAGGUGAGCAGGGCCACGUGGAUAGAGGGUGCAUCAGGGUGAAGCCACUUCCUCACUGACCUUGCCUUUCCUUCCCCAGGACCAGCCUGGAAGUGCCUGAGAUCAACGCUUUGCUGCUGGUCCCCAAGGAGAAUUCCCUCAUCCUGGCUGGGGGAGACUGUCAGUUGCACACUAUGGACCUUGAAACUGGGACUUUCACGAGGGUCCUCCGGGGCCACACAGACUACAUCCAUUGCCUGGCACUGCGGGAAAGGAGCCCAGAGGUGCUGUCAGGUGGCGAGGAUGGAGCUGUUCGACUUUGGG
RNAcentral lists this small RNA (1036 nucleotides) under Pan troglodytes (chimpanzee). Its description in RNAcentral is "retained intron". Lineage: Eukaryota; Metazoa; Chordata; Mammalia; Primates; Hominidae. The record is from RNAcentral.